GGUUCGAUUUAAGAUCUAUUGUUUGGAUGCUUAGAUAUGGCUUUUUGGAAUAGUGUUGGCAUUUUCUUGAACUUAGCUAGCUAUCUUUUGAUGGGUUUUUUUCUUUAUAAUUUCUAGUUGGAAUAAACUUAUUGCUUUGUUCAUUUGAAUGCUUAGAUCUGGAUUUAGGUACCUGGAAAUAGCUAUUAGCAAUCUUUAUGUAAUGAUUUAUUAUUCGUUUUGAACUUGCUUGCUCUUUUCAUGGGACCCGUUUUCGUUAAGCAGAAUAUCUACUGCUUUUAAGCACGAGUGAAAUCAUUGACUCAUGAUUUUGAUAUUCUGGUGCAUAGAUUUGGAUUUUGGCCCUUCAGAAAGAUUUUAGGAACCAUUACUUUUAGCAUCUUCAUGUGCAUGGCUGCUUACUGUGUGAUCGGUUCGUUCUUCUUUUUUUUUCAUGCUUGGCUCAAGGGAGUUGUUUGUAGGAUUUAUUAUUUAGAUUUAGAUCUUGCUGGAUCUCAGUUUACAAAGCAGUAUCCUGCUUGUUAACUUUUCCUGGGAUUAAAGCUCUAACAAUGAUUUUGGAUGAACUGGGAAAUUCAAUAUCGGAUCCUCUAAAAAAAUGAGUUUUACAUUUUGAGGUCAGAAAUCCAGUUAUCAUCCAUUCCGUUUGAUAUUAACACGUGGCUUGCUGAAACAUCACAAUUGCUUGAUCUGGUUAUAAUCCAUGCAAAUUGCUGACUGUGAGAUCGUUUUUUAUGCACACACAAUUAAGCAGGCUCCUGUAACUUGAUGUCUUUAGUGUGGUUGGUGUUGGAUUAUAUAGGACUACUCCUUUUGGUUGGAACCUCGUAACCGCUGAUUACAUCGAACAAACAGUGCAUGGGGUGGUUGUUAGUACUCUCGGACUUCUUUUCUUGGGGAAGUUGCUUGAGCCUGUAUGGGGUUCUAAGGAAUUCUUGAAGUUCAUCUUCAUAACUAACUUUCUAACGUCCGUUUGUGUUUUCGUUACCUCUAUUGCCUUGUACCAGGUAACCAUGCAGGAAAAGUGCCCUUACAUGCCUGUUUCUGGAUUCCAUGGGGUGCUGGCAGGCUUCUUGGUUAUCAUCAAGCAAAUCGUACCCGACCAAGAGUUUUAUCUCCUAAAAAUAAAAGUAAAGAGAAAGAGGGGCUAGAGCACUGGAGGAGAGAUUGGCAGCUGAGAUAUUAGCUGCCGGACGUAAUUCAGAAGAGCCGCACAUAGACGGAAACAACCGCGUUUGAUUGCUCCGAAGAGUCACAUCCAUCAAACUACAAAGGUUAUGCACAAGUAUGCCUAAUCACUCAAUAGGCACAACACUUUAAAAACUCUUACAAAUUAGUCUAUACCUCGAAAUAUUAUUUUGCAUUUACACACUUAAUGAUAGCUUUCAGUGCCCGAAUUAUCCAAUGUAUUAGCUCGAUUAAUAUGAGACUUUGUUUCAUGAAAAUUCAAUUUGAUUAAAUUUAAGAACGAAAUGAAUUUGACAUCUGAAAUUUUGGGUAUUGUUACAAUCUACAACUGGACAAUUAUUGCCU
Molecule: long non-coding RNA, 1533 nt
Organism: Hibiscus syriacus
Lineage: Eukaryota; Viridiplantae; Streptophyta; Magnoliopsida; Malvales; Malvaceae
Exons: 5
Source: RefSeq, a predicted model, not a curated record